Molecule: long non-coding RNA, 345 nt
Organism: Xenia sp. Carnegie-2017
Lineage: Eukaryota; Metazoa; Cnidaria; Anthozoa; Malacalcyonacea; Xeniidae
Exons: 2
Source: RefSeq, a predicted model, not a curated record
UUUCUAGAGGGGUUGGAACCCACCCCUACAUAGACAUACCCACCCCAAAUUGGUAACCCACCCCUACAUUUGGGUCCAAAAUUUCCUUACCCACCCCUACAUACGAGCCGAAAAACAAUUCGUUUUUUUCUACGGGAAAGCUGAUUUUAGACUUAUUUAUGGUCUCUCUAUGCAUACUAUAUACAACACUGAUAAAGUCUAUGUAUUCACUAAUAUUGUCAAUCAAGCAAGUUCACCAAACUCGCCAAAUAUCUUCUUCUUUGAGGCUAACUCUAUCUCUUCAUUGUAUCCAGUGGUACACUCCCGGACAGAUAGAUGAUGCAAUAACAUGGGGGCAAAAAUUGA